RNAcentral lists this ribosomal RNA (468 nucleotides) under uncultured bacterium. RNAcentral describes it as "partial 16S ribosomal RNA". It matches the Rfam family "Bacterial small subunit ribosomal RNA", at positions 28 to 507 of the family's 1533-position model. The record is from RNAcentral.
GGCGAACGCUGGCGGCGUGCUUAACACAUGCAAGUCGAACGGAAAGGCCCUGCUUUUGUGGGGUGCUCGAGUGGCGAACGGGUGAGUAACACGUGAGUAACCUGCCCUUGACUUUGGGAUAACUUCAGGAAACUGGGGCUAAUACCGGAUAGGAGCUCCUGCUGCAUGGUGGGGGUUGGAAAGUUUCGGCGGUUGGGGAUGGACUCGCGGCUUAUCAGCUUGUUGGUGGGGUAGUGGCUUACCAGGGCUUUGACGGGUAGCCGGCCUGAGAGGGUGACCGGCCACAUUGGGACUGAGAUACGGCCCAGACUCCUACGGGAGGCAGCAGUGGGGAAUAUUGCACAAUGGGCGGAAGCCUGAUGCAGCAACGCCGCGUGCGGGAUGACGGCCUUCGGGUUGUAAACCGCUUUCGCCUGUGACGAAGCGUGAGUGACGGUAAUGGGUAAAGAAGCACCGGCUAACUACGUG